RNAcentral lists this ribosomal RNA (540 nucleotides) under Exiguobacterium sp. A1salkB5.2. Its description in RNAcentral is "bacterial SSU rRNA". It matches the Rfam family "Bacterial small subunit ribosomal RNA", at positions 190 to 721 of the family's 1533-position model. Lineage: Bacteria; Bacillati; Bacillota; Bacilli; Caryophanales. The record is from RNAcentral.
UGGUCCGAGGAUGAAAGGCGCUUCGGCGUCCCCUGGGGAUGGCUUUGCGGUGCAUUAGCUAGUUGGUGGGGUAAUGGCCCACCAAGGCGACGAUGCAUAGCCGACCUGAGAGGGUGAUCGGCCACACUGGGACUGAGACACGGCCCAGACUCCUACGGGAGGCAGCAGUAGGGAAUCUUCCACAAUGGACGAAAGUCUGAUGGAGCAACGCCGCGUGAACGAUGAAGGCCUUCGGGUCGUAAAGUUCUGUUGUAAGGGAAGAACAAGUGCCGCAGGCAAUGGCGGCACCUUGACGGUACCUUGCGAGAAAGCCACGGCUAACUACGUGCCAGCAGCCGCGGUAAUACGUAGGUGGCAAGCGUUGUCCGGAAUUAUUGGGCGUAAAGCGCGCGCAGGCGGCCUCUUAAGUCUGAUGUGAAAGCCCCCGGCUCAACCGGGGAGGGCCAUUGGAAACUGGGAGGCUUGAGUAUAGGAGAGAAGAGUGGAAUUCCCGUGCAGCGGUGAAAUGCGAGAGAUGUGGAGGAACACCAGUGGCGAAGG